Molecule: ribosomal RNA, 301 nt
Filed under: uncultured bacterium
Lineage: Bacteria
Description: partial 16S ribosomal RNA
Rfam family: Bacterial small subunit ribosomal RNA
Source: RNAcentral
CAGCAGCCGCGGGAAUACGAAGGGGGCUAGCGUUGCUCGGAAUGACUGGGCGUAAAGGGCGCGUAGGCGGCGGCCAAAGUCAGGCGUGAAAUUCCCGGGCUCAACCUGGGGGCUGCGUUUGAUACUUGGUUGCUUGAGUGGGGAAGAGGGUCGUGGAAUUCCCAGUGUAGAGGUGAAAUUCGUAGAUAUUAGGAAGAACACCGGUGGCGAAGGCGGCGACCUGGUCCUUUACUGACGCUGAGGCGCGAAAGCGUGGGGAGCAAACAGGAUUAGAGACCCCGGUAGUCCCUGUCUCUUAUAA